GGUCCGGGCGUUAUCCGGAUUUAUUGGGUUUAAAGGGAGCGUAGGCCGGAGAUUAAGCGUGUUGUGAAAGUUUGCGGCUCAACCGUAAAAUUGCAGUUGAUACUGGUUUCCUUGAGUGCGGUUGAGGUGUGCGGAAUUCGUGGUGUAGCGGUGAAAUGCUUAGAUAUCACGAAGAACCCCGAUUGCGAAGGCAGCACACUAAGCCGUAACUGACGUUCAUGCUCGAAAGUGUGGGUAU
Molecule: ribosomal RNA, 238 nt
Filed under: uncultured bacterium
Lineage: Bacteria
Description: partial 16S ribosomal RNA
Rfam family: Bacterial small subunit ribosomal RNA
Source: RNAcentral